RNAcentral lists this ribosomal RNA (253 nucleotides) under uncultured bacterium. RNAcentral describes it as "partial 16S ribosomal RNA". It matches the Rfam family "Bacterial small subunit ribosomal RNA", at positions 524 to 776 of the family's 1533-position model. The record is from RNAcentral.
UACGAAGGGGGCUAGCGUUGUUCGGAAUUACUGGGCGUAAAGGGCGCGUAGGCGGUGUGUCAAGUCAGGCGUGAAAGCCCCGGGCUCAACCGGGGAGGGUCGUUGGUGACUGUCGCGCUUGAAGGCAGCAGGGGUGAGUGGAAUUCCAGGUGUAGCGGUGAAAUGCGUAGAUAUCUGGAGGAAUACCGGUGGCGAAGGCGGCAUCCUGGACCGACAUUGACGCUGAACGGCGAAAGCUAGGGGAGCAAACGGG